UCUGGGAUAGCUUAGUUGGUAGAGCGUGAGACUCUUUAUCUCAGGGUUGUGGGUUUGAGCCCCACUUUGGAU
Molecule: transfer RNA, 72 nt
Filed under: Podarcis lilfordi (Lilford's wall lizard)
Lineage: Eukaryota; Metazoa; Chordata; Lepidosauria; Squamata; Lacertidae
Description: tRNA.Lys
Rfam family: tRNA (bases 7-66)
About the family: Transfer RNA (tRNA) molecules are approximately 80 nucleotides in length. Their secondary structure includes four short double-helical elements and three loops (D, anti-codon, and T loops).
Source: RNAcentral